ACGAACGCUGGCGGCAUGCCUUACACAUGCAAGUCGAACGCGAAAGCACUUUCGGGUGUUAGUAGAGUGGCAAACUGGUGAGUAACGCGUGGGAAUAUACCUUAUAGUAUGGGAUAGCCUCGGGAAACUGGGAUUAAUACCAUAUACGCCCUCAGGGGGAAAGAUUUAUCGCUAUAAGAUUAGCCCGCGUCAGAUUAGCUAGUUGGUGGGGUAAUGGCCUACCAAGGCAACGAUCUGUAGCUGGUCUGAGAGGACGAUCAGCCACAUUGGGACUGAGACACGGCCCAAACUCCUACGGGAGGCAGCAGUGGGGAAUAUUGGACAAUGGGCGAAAGCCUGAUCCAGCAAUGCCGCGUGAAUGAUGAAGGCCUUAGGGUUGUAAAGUUCUUUUAGUGGGGAAGAUAAUGACGGUACCCACAGAAAAAGCACCGGCUAACUUCGU
RNAcentral lists this ribosomal RNA (442 nucleotides) under uncultured bacterium. RNAcentral describes it as "bacterial SSU rRNA". It matches the Rfam family "Bacterial small subunit ribosomal RNA", at positions 29 to 506 of the family's 1533-position model. The record is from RNAcentral.